GAUGAAGAACGCAGCGAAAUGCGAUACGUAAUGUGAAUUGCAGAAUUCAGUGAAUCAUCGAGUCUUUGAACGCACAUUGCGCCCGCCAGUAUUCUGGCGGGCAUGCCUGUCCGAGCGUCAUUUCAACCCUCGAACCCCUCCGGGGGGUCGGCGUUGGGGACCUCGGGAGCCCCUAAGACGGGAUCCCGGCCCCGAAAUACAGUGGCGGUCUCGCCGCAGCCUCUCCUGCGCAGUAGUUUGCACAACUCGCACCGGGAGCGCGGCGCGUCCACGUCCGUAAAACACCCAACUUCUGAAAUGUUGACCUCGGAUCAGGUAGGAAUACCCGCUGAACUUAAGCAUAUCAAUAAGCGGAGGA
Molecule: unclassified non-coding RNA, 358 nt
Filed under: soil metagenome
Description: partial contains 5.8S ribosomal RNA, internal transcribed spacer 2, and large subunit ribosomal RNA
Rfam family: 5.8S ribosomal RNA (bases 1-120)
Source: RNAcentral